This 2854-nucleotide unclassified non-coding RNA is filed under the name Hevea brasiliensis (rubber tree). The record is from RNAcentral. Lineage: Eukaryota; Viridiplantae; Streptophyta; Magnoliopsida; Malpighiales; Euphorbiaceae.
UUUCAUAUUUGUCUUGUUCAAUCUUUAAAUAAACAAUAAUUAAAAUAAAUAAUAAUUAAAAUAAAAUAAUAUAAAAUAUAAAAUUUAAGUUUCCCAUUUUGACAGGUUUGAAUCUGAUGGAUGAAUGAAAUCUGCUGUGUCUUUUGUUUUUGGGUGACUAUGAUUAGAUGGUUUAUGCUGUCAUCUUCUCUGUUCAAAAUACUGAUAUUUGGGUCCUUUAUACUGCCCUUUUCGGUGUCUUUUUUUGUUUUUCCAUUAUAGAUAACAGCAGAUUCCUUCCCACUUUUUUAUUUUUUAAAAUAAUGAAUGAAUAAAUAUUUGUUUUCUUGGUAAUUCUAUUUUUUCAAGAAAUUAAAGAAAAAAGUGUCAACAUUUCUUUUAUUGUUUAUUAUGGGGUUGUUGGUUGUAGUGAUGUUGAUGGGUUGGUUUCCUUUUGGUUCGCGGGAAUUAAGGCUCUUCUUGAUUCCUGUUCAUGCCUGAUCAUCUCCGCCAUCACCACAUCUUUAUCUUCUUCUCCUGUUCUUGUUGGCUCUGUUUCUCUCUUUUGGCUUCUGGGUUUUCUUCAGAAUUCAGAUUCCUAUUUGACACCAUUUUGUACUGUCUCUUGGAAUCACUUCCUUGUUGGGGUUUCAAGAGCCACGGAUUCAAAUUUUCCAAGAUUUUCAUCUCCAAUGGAAACUUCAGAUGGAAAUGAUUUCUACUAUUGAAGUUCAGAGUGACUUGAAGAUUGGGGUUUGUGCUAAUUCACUUGUGAUUUAAUCGUGUCUGUUGGUUUUAUCUGCAAGAGUGUUGAUCGUAAGCGAGUUUUGAUCCUUGUUCUAUUAAAUCUUAAAUGGACUUGCCCUCUAAGCAUCCAAGAUUCUUUGGUAGACAUUUGAAUUCUAUAGCAUGUAAAUGCCUUGCUUUGGUUGUUAUUUUGCUGUUUCUUAGGGUUGUACUUCUUCCCUCAUUCUCUGGUUAUGAUAGCAUCAAUCGGAAUAAUGUGGAAUUUACUCAUAGCAGCUCUCUGUCAUUCGACUCUGAGUAUGGAAUUCGUAGAGAUAAGUUCUUGGAGGUUCCUCAGAUAGUUUGGGGACUUAACAAUCAAAAGAUAGCAUUUGCUAGAGCUUGUCUCACUGCUAGAAUGCUGAACAGAACUCUUCUAAUGCCCAGCUUAAGUGCUUCGCUGUUCUAUAAGGAACUAGAUCGCUUGCAACCGAUUUCCUUUGACAAAGUGUUCCAAUUUGAGAGGUUUAAUUCUCUCUGUAAUGGGUUUGUGCAGUUGGGCCAUUAUUCGUUUCUUAGAAAUCUGACUGGAAUUUGUGAUCUUCCGAAAGGAAGUGGAAGGAAGUGGAUGGUAGAGAGAGAUUUGGAUCAAUUGAGACAAUAUGGCAAGGAUCCAUAUGAUGGUUAUGAGGUUAUUCGGAUAGUUGGAAAAAACCCAUUUCUGUGGCAUGAUCAUUGGCCCGUUAAGGAUUAUGCCAGGGUCUUUGAAUGCUUAGUUUUGGUUGAAGAGAUAGAAAGAGAAGCAUCUAAAGUUGUGUCAAAGAUUAGAGAAGUAGGAAGAGAAAUGAGAGGCCAUACUAAAUCUGCUCAAAGUGGUAUUGAUUCAGAUGGUUCGUCAUUGCAGGCAGUGCCUUAUGUAGCAGUUCAUAUGAGGAUAGAGAUAGACUGGAUGAUCCACUGUAGGAAGUUAGAGCAAAGAUCAAAAAUAAGCCAAAUUUGUAGUAGCAAGGAGGAGAUUAUGGAGCGAGUGGGGAACAUUGUGGGCCUGAAAACACCUACAGUUGUUUAUCUUGCAGUGGCUGAUAGUCUUCUUGAAGAUCCUUCUAUACUCACUGGUUGGAAGGAUGGUUUAGUUCCUUUUGAAAAGAAGAAACUGGGUGUCGAUGGAAUUUACAAGAAGUAUCCAUAUCUCAUUCAAUCAGCAAUAGAUUAUGAAGUGUGCUUAAGGGCUGAUGUAUUUGUUGGGAACAGUUUCUCAACAUUUUCAAGUCUCAUAGCUCUUGAGAGAACACAGAAGAUGAUUAGAAUGGGCGUCACACAUUCGUGUGGCUUGCAUGUGAGAUGGCCUUCGUAUGCGUAUAACAUACUAGGCGAAUCAAAUGGCCCUCAAAAAUGGAUGACAAAUAUAUCCGAUUCAAGUCUUAAAGCAGUCAGCUAUGGUACUAAUAUCAUCUCCUGCUGAAGGUAAUGGCAAGUAAUUCCUGGUAUGGCUGAAAACCAAUAGAAUAUUUUUGUUAAAAAUUUGCUGGUAUACUUUUGAACAUUUCUUUCAUUUCUGUGUAAAGAGAAUCAAUAUCAUAGUGCGUCAAGAUAGCAGUUAGCACCAAAUUGGGUACAGUUUUUCAUUUUUGUAAUUUCCUUUGUCAAAAUUUUGCUAAUUAUAUUGAUUUUUUUUGGCACUUCUUAUCCGGAGAAUGAAUAUCUUGGUUCCUUUCUUUGCAUAAUUUAUGUAGACAUAUUCUGGUACCAAAGAAUCCUAUUAAUAGCUAGAUUUAUUGAGAAUUUUUCCUCAUGCACACGUUGUCUCUUUAAAACUUGAAUUCUUAAGAAUAUUAAGAUUCCAAGUGCAGUUUGGUACCAAUGCAAUACUAUAAUGGGAUAUUGCUUAUUUCUGCAAUACCCUGUUUGGUAACAAACAGAACAGGAAAGAAAAGGAAACUUGAAGUCUUAGAAUUAUAUUUUUGGGAUUAUAUGAUACUUAUAAUUCUUCUCUAUAUUAUUCAAUUUUGUAUAUUGUUAUAAUAAUAAAUCUUAAGGCAUUACCAGCUUCUUUUUAAGCUAUUUCUUGUUAUUUGUUCAAUAAAUAUCCUCUCUCCACAAUCCUGCAUGACAAUAUAUAUAUAUAUAUUAUCAGUUCUUUUAUGAAGUU